CCCUUAGAUGUUCUGGGCCGCACGCGCGCUACACUGACGAAUGCAACGAGCUUAUAACCUUGGCCGAAAGGUCUGGGUAAUCUCCAAAUUUCGUCGUGAUGGGGAUAGAUUAUUGCAAUUAUUAAUCUUCAACGAGGAAUGCCUAGUAAGCGCAAGUCAUCAGCUUGCGUUGAUUACGUCCCUGCCCUUUGUACACACCGCCCGUCGCUCCUACCGAUUGAAUGGUCCGGUGAAAUCUUCGGAUCUGAGAGAUGUCUGAUUAAUUUCGGACGCCUUUUGGAAAAGUUGCUUAAACCUUACCAUUUAGAGGAAGGUGAAGUCGUAACA
Molecule: ribosomal RNA, 327 nt
Filed under: uncultured eukaryote
Lineage: Eukaryota
Description: partial 18S ribosomal RNA
Rfam family: Eukaryotic small subunit ribosomal RNA
Source: RNAcentral